ACUCAAAUGAAUUGACGGGGACCUGCACAACCAGUGGAGCAUGUGGUUUAAUUCGAGACGAACCGAAGAACCUCACCUAGAUUUGACAUAUUACCGUUUAAUUUUUCAGAAAUGAAAGAUGAUCCUCUUUAUUGCGGAUGGUAUUACAGGUGCUGCAUGGCUGUCGUCAGCUCGUGCCGUAGGGUGUUUCCUUCAGUGGAGUAACGAGCGCAACCCCUGCUAUGUGUUGAAUAUUCACAUAGGACUGCCUUACUUUGUAAGGAGGAAGGUGGGGACGACGUCAAGUCAGCAUGGCCUUUAUAUCUAGGGCUACACACAUUCUACAAUGGAGCCGACAAUGGGUUGCCAAACCGUAAGGUGGAGCUAAUCCCAUCAAACGGCUUCUCAGUUGGGAUUGAGGGCUGCAACUCGCCCUCAUGAACGCGGAAUUGGUAGUAAUCGCGGAUCAGCUAGGCCGCGGUGAAUACGUUCUCAGGUCUUGUACACACCGCCCGU
Molecule: ribosomal RNA, 495 nt
Filed under: uncultured bacterium
Lineage: Bacteria
Description: partial 16S ribosomal RNA
Rfam family: Bacterial small subunit ribosomal RNA
Source: RNAcentral